AGUGAACGCUGGCGGUAGGCCUAACACAUGCAAGUCGAACGGCAGCACAGUAAGAGCUUGCUCUUACGGGUGGCGAGUGGCGGACGGGUGAGGAAUACAUCGGAAUCUACUUUUUCGUGGGGGAUAACGUAGGGAGACUUACGCUAAUACAGCAUACGACCUACGGGUGAAAGGAGGGGAUCUUCGGACCUUGCGCGAUUGAAUGAGCCGAUGUGGGAUUAGCUAGUUGGCGGGGUAAAGGCCCACCAAGGCGACGAUCCGUAGCUGGUCUGAGAGGGUGUACAGCCACACUGGGACUGAGAGACGGUCCUGACUCCGACGGAAGGCAGCAGUGGGGAAUAUUGGACAAUGGGCGCAAGCCUGAUCCAGCCAUACCGCGUGGGUGAAGAAGGCCUUCGGGUUGUAAAGCCCUUUUGUUGUGAAAGAAAAGCAGCAGGUUAAUACCCCGCUGUUCUGACGGUACCCAAAGAAUAAGCACCGGCUAACUUCGUG
RNAcentral lists this ribosomal RNA (492 nucleotides) under uncultured bacterium. RNAcentral's name for it is "partial 16S ribosomal RNA". It matches the Rfam family "Bacterial small subunit ribosomal RNA", at positions 29 to 507 of the family's 1533-position model. The record is from RNAcentral.